Non-coding RNA from Chrysemys picta bellii (western painted turtle), 365 nucleotides. Lineage: Eukaryota; Metazoa; Chordata; Testudines; Emydidae. The record is from the annotation of a RefSeq genome assembly.
UCUGUGCAGUGACCAGCCAGUCCCCUGAGAACUUUCCCCUCCAGCACCAGGAAAAUGAGACUUUGGUUCCUUUUAGUUUGCAUUGCUGCGGCUUUGGAAGGGGCCCGCUCGCAGGUGGUUCUGACCCAGUCGGGGCCAGCGCUGAAGAAGCCCGGAGAGUCCCAUACACUGCAAUGUGCCACCAGCGGGUUCACUCUGAGCAGCACCGCCAUGAGCUGGAUCAGACAGGAGCCGGGGAAGGGGCUGGAGUGGCUGGUCAGCUACUAUGAUCCCUCCAUCAACAAUUACGCCUCCUCCAUCCAGGGCCGAUUCACAGCCUCCAAGGACAGCACCAACUUCUACCUGCAAAUGACAGCCUGAGAGCG